Molecule: transfer RNA, 74 nt
Filed under: Hyphomicrobiales bacterium
Lineage: Bacteria; Pseudomonadati; Pseudomonadota; Alphaproteobacteria; Hyphomicrobiales
Also listed under: 1 other name
Description: tRNA-Gln
Rfam family: tRNA
About the family: Transfer RNA (tRNA) molecules are approximately 80 nucleotides in length.
Source: RNAcentral
UGGGGUAUAGCCAAGCGGUAAGGCAACCGGUUUUGAUCCGGUCAUCCCAGGUUCGAUCCCUGGUACCCCAACCA